This 2047-nucleotide unclassified non-coding RNA is filed under the name Hevea brasiliensis (rubber tree). Lineage: Eukaryota; Viridiplantae; Streptophyta; Magnoliopsida; Malpighiales; Euphorbiaceae. The record is from RNAcentral.
CUGCACUAUGAUCAUGGUCAUGUUAUCACAUCCCUCGCCACCAACAGUAGGUGCCAAACACCUGUCGAAAACUUUCUCACAAAUUGCUGAAAGCUUACUUUCCUGUAUGAAUUGGGAAAGAAAAACAGUUAACUAAAACAUUCCACAUAUACAUAAUUCUAGCAAGUGUUUACACAACUUACAGUGUUUGACUACUCGCGCACAUAAUCCACUAGCUGUUGGCUCGACAUGCAAUCCCUAGUGCACAGGAGAGACUUAUAAAAAUUCUAAGUGAAUGCUAAUUAGUUUCAUAAUGAAUGAUCAAAGGGGGAAGAAAGGAGGGAAGAUUCACACCAUAAUUUUCAUUCCACUUAGGGUUCAUUCCACAUUUACUUUCAGCUCAUAAUAAAAUUUAGGGCCACAUUUGACACUUCAUCUUGGAGCUUGGAGUACACAGGUGUUAAAGUAACUAAAGCCCUCAUAUGAAGCCUAAUAAUCUGAUUCUCAGAAGACAUGGUGAUGCAAUCAAUGAAGAUUCUAUUUUGGAAUUAUUUUUAUUUUUAAUUCUAAAAUUAAUAUAUUUAAUUUAGAUUUUUAGUAUUAAAAAUUCUAUUAUUAUUAUUGUUAUUAUUAUGUUGAUUAGCCAAUUAAUGAAUUGUAUAAUUAGGUUGUUAAUUAACUUUUGAAUUGAUGAUCCAUAAAAUGAUUUGUUUUCUCUUAUCAUGCAGGGAAGAUUUUAAUUCAUGAUGAUCCCAAAUACCAAGGACUUACUGAUUAAUUAAUUGAUUAAUUAAAGAGAUAACCAUCAUAAUUUCUUUGGUGAAUUUUAGAACCAUAUUGGCUGACUAGACAGAAGUUCCUCUGUAGUCUGUUUUUUCAGCAAGAUCUUCAUCACUUAUAUCUGUAAUUAUCAAGGUGAAAAUGGACCAGUAGUUGAUGGUCAAAUGAUUGACUGGAUAGAAUUUUUAGCUAAUGGAAGAAGGUUUCUGGCUCAAGUUUUUCUAAUUUUGUACUUAGUGCUCCCAGAAAAGCACAAUAGCUUUUCCACAAGUGAUUUUGAACCUUCAAGCGCUAGGGAUAGAUAAGGGCAUAUAUGAUUUGUCUUUUACAUGUUAUGCCCAAAUGAUAAGGAAUUUUUCAUACUGGCUUAUUUCUGAAGCAAGUUCUUUUUACUAUUUGGUUUUCUUUUCUCCUCUGUUGAUUGUGCCACUAAACCAAGUUGAUUUUCUUGUGAGUCAGAUAUUGGAUCAGCUAGAAUUAAAGUUAUGUCUCUGUUUUUACGCUGCUGAUGGAUUCUGUUUGUGCAGAGGAAGCUAGAGGAGAAAAGAGCAAGAGCCCUUGAGAAGAUGCAGAAUGAGGUAGCAAAAGCACACAGAAAAGCAGAGGAUAGAAGAGCAUCAGCUGAAGCUAAAAGAGGAACAAAAGUUGCCAGAGUUCUUGAAAUAGCCAAUUUGAUGAGAGCUGUUGGGAGAGCUCCUGCCAAGCGGUCCUUCUUUUGAGCAGUCUUAUUGUACUCUAUAAACAUAUUCUCAACUAAAAACAGAAUUACAAAGAAAAGGAGUGGUGGACAAAAUAAUUGCCCCAACCUUUAGGGUUUCCUGUAUCUUUUGAACUUCGGGGUACCCGGGCAUUGAAGAGUUUGAACUUUGAAGUGUGUUUUUUGGUAAGUGCUUGUUGGUUGGAAGUGGUGGAACAAACAAUUUGCCUUGUAAAGUUAUACUGUUUCUUAUUGAUAGAAAUUAAGAUGCUAAAUGCCAAUUAAUACUUGUUUAAAGAUAAUUAGUCAAGAUGUUCAGUUUUUGGUUCAUCUACCACUCAAGGGAUAAAUUGUUGUUUAUGUUCACUAUGUUCUUGUGAGUGUGCUUUCUGAGGAAGUGGAGAUGCCAGCCUUUUGAAAUUAUAAGCUCUCUAUGCCAAUGGUUGGUUUGCAACUGCAUACCCACUGGUAGUUUUGCUAGGUAUUGAACAUCCAACAUCUUAGGCAAAUGAUGUGUUUGUUAGCUUAUUGGGUCCAUGGUUCUAUGAACUACUCUGCUUUUAUUAAUAAUUCGAUGUAUUGAAAAUUUUG